UUAAUAAAUCUCCAUUUUGGUAAUUCCUCUACUAGCGUAUUUCUCACAAUUCACUGUAAUAGUAGAUGUGGAAAUAUUCGCUUCGGGAGAAUCAAAUAGAAGUGAGAAAGAGUAAGGCAGAAAAGCACAUAGGAGAAUGGAAGGAAGCUAGAUGUAAGAAGCAAAAGAUAGAUAAAGAGAGAGAAAGAGAAAAAGAGAGAAAAAGAGAGAUAGUUGUAUCAACGAGAUUGCACAUACAGAUGAAAGACAAAGAGAAAGAGAAGAGUCACGUUGGGUUGUAUCACUGAUUCUGGCUGGUGGAAAGAUGGCGGAGGGCGGAGCGGCAUCUAGAACUAACUUGUACCGGGUGGUACCGCAUCACUGUCAGCAAAAACCGCAUAAAACGGCACCAUUCGCUUCUCUGGUGUACCGACACAGGAGGGGAUUCUAGUUGCUCGUGGGGCAGGA
This is a long non-coding RNA of Apis florea (little honeybee), 447 nucleotides long. The record is from RefSeq and is a predicted model, not a curated record. NCBI's taxonomy places the organism in Eukaryota, Metazoa, Arthropoda, Insecta, Hymenoptera, Apidae.